AUAGUUUAAAGAAUAAUGUAAUGGCAGAAAGUCGCCUCGUAGAUGUUUAUACAUUUUGUGUAUUUUUGUUCUGCCCUGCUAAAAUCAAAUUAGUUUUCAUUCGGGCUAAGUGUUUGCUCUCAAACAUGGUUCGUGCGCUUAAAAGCAUUAAACUAUAUAAUUUAUUUAUUUUCAAUUAAAUUCUAAGCAGAUUUGCAGCUCCAUAUACCGCCGCCGCCCCUUCGUUGGGACUUUCUCUUGAUUUUGGGUUUGGGAAAUGCCUUUAUUUUUGGUCAAUUUUGCGCAACAAUUAUGUGAACCCACGAACUUUGUCCGGGGACUCCUCGGAAUACCCGCUGAGAGCCAUGGCUCAGUGCCGGCUCGGGCCCUUCCUUCACUCGAUGGCAGCUCCCGACAACGUCAAAUGAUUUAUUCAAUUUGUGCCAUGAAGCGUAAACUUUUUGUUUGCCUGUUGGCCUCGUUGUCUGGCGCUUGUUGCUCCUCUCCUCCGCCGCUUGCUGGGGCUGCGGAAGUUGCCUGUGUGAAUCAAUCCGCCAUCACAGGACACAGAACGGCCACCGCCACCAUUCCAGCAGUUCCAAUUUAAAUAGUUUUUCCACAUGACAAUGGCCCAGGCUGUAUUUUGCUGCUGCAUAUCUCACUCUUUUUGCCCCAGCUGGACAAAAGGUCAAACUAGAUUUGAAUAUUUUACUUGAUUUUAUGUGUGUGCAACUGUGCGACAUGUUGCGGUUAAUAAAGAUGAGACAGAUAGGAUUGAAAGCACAGACAGAACAAAUGCUGGAUAAACAGGAGUUAACUAUGGGUAAGUAACUUCAGGAAAAUAGACCGUUUAGUUAUACAAAAUGUAAAUGUUUCCAUUAUUUUCAGUUCUGAUUAUAGUGUAGAAUGUGACACAUAAUUAGAUGCUUGCCAAGUUUAACUUUUGCAGUGUAGAAAAGCGUUAAGUGUUCUCCGUCUCCGUCAACUUUUCUCUGCUUUUUGUUCUGUGAGUUGUGUGAUAUAAUUUGCUUUUCGCUUGCUACCAAUUUAUUGCCAAUUAUAAUUACAACUGUUUGGGUUGUUCUGCCAGAUAAAAUGCUCAAAAUUAUUGCAUUUUUCAGCUUCAUUUGUUUACGACUGCUUUUCACUUUCUUUCAUGCUGUGCUCCUCUCUCCAUUCGCCAAUAUUUAACGACUGUUGGUGGAAAAAGUUUUCUUUUUACAACGAUAUUAAGUUAAUUACUUUUGCUGGUGCCCACAUCUGGAUGGUUGGAGCAGAGUAGAGCGGAGCGGAGUGUGUCUUGAGAUAUUUUGAGCUUGGUCGGGUGUUUAUGGAAUGCCUGUGGACUCAUAAUUAAUAAGCAUUUAGUUGGACACACCUCGAGCACAGGUCGCACAGUUGGGGUCUUCAAUGAUGUUGUCAAGAAGCGUGAGCUGUAAAAAGUGUAUUUCAUAUUUGAUUUUUAUGAUGCAUUUCGCACGCCUUCCCAUUGAAGGGCGAACGUGCCUGCCAGCCAGCCACUCGCUGAUGAUUUCACCAACCUUCCAACCUUACUCCAGCCCAGACCAAAGCUGAGCGACACUGAAGAAGAGAAAACACUUGGAUUGGAGUUGACUCAACCGAUGAGGAAGUCUCUUGAGGAAGGUGCCAAAGUGAAACUGCCAUAGCUAAUCAAAAGUCUGUAAUUAGCCGAAAUUCAAGUGCAGGAAUACCGCUAUGGAUGGCUUAUGGGCAGUUAUUGUGGGCAUUGGGAGUAAAUGAGUUAAUUUGAUGAUAAGAUAUUAUCGGCUAAGAUGGCUCGUGAAAUGGGAUCAUCAAAGAGUACCAAUAAUGGUUAUAUGGGGUGUGAUAUGAAUGAGAUCAGAGGGAGAAAUCUGUGUGGAAAGUGUAAGUCAGGUAAAAGAGACAUCUUACCGAAGAGAGUGCAAGAAUAUUCAAGGGAUCAAUCCAUGGACUUGUUUAAGUAUUUAUAAUAUUUUCUAUUAUAUUUAUUUCAUAUUUUUACACAAUUUCUCAUCCUUUCACAGUCCCAAAAAUAAUGCAAUUCUCCCCUCAAACACACAAAUUUUUACAACACAGACCCCCCAUUGAAGCAGACAACUUGUGUCCACUUCUGGAGAGUAGCGCCUGUCAAAGUAUCGCAAAAUGUGUUGCUCAUAUAAAUUUCAUUUAUGCCAGUUAAAUUAAUUACUGUCAACACAUGCGAGGCGGCGGCAGCAGCAGCAACAAUAACAACCGGAGAGGCAGCCACAGCAAAAACAAUUGCCAAUCAGCCACAAAAACUAAAGCAGGCCAAGCCAAAAGUCCAACAGCGAAGACGCAACUCGGUGGAGAGUAGCAGUGGUGGCAGUGGCAGCGCCAGUGCGAGGGUCUCGAGCCUCGAGAGUCCGAGCGUGUUGCGAACAUAAACACAAAGUCAUAAAGUUUUUACACAAAAACAUUUAAUUUUAUUGCAUUUUUGGGCAGCAGCCAGACCCGACAAGAGCAGUGCAGAGCAGACCAGUGACCAGAGGCAGUCCGCGCCCGAGCCCCGGCCAGACGACGGCACUGAAACAAUGCACCAAAAAGGAUGGGUAAAGGGGGAAUCGGCAGGCGGACAGUGUGGGUAGAGUAGGGGGUGUGCCGAUGGUUGAGCAUGGUCUGCUGGCCAGGCCAACUUAAUUUGCCGCAAAUCGAGCAAAACUGCAGCCAAACAGAAGCAAACGAACAGGAGCAUACACACACACACACAAUUUUUGGCUGACCGGGAACAUUUUUCAAAAAUAUAAUAAAACACAAAGAUAUAGUUAGAGCGCCAUUGAACAUUUUCUGAAUACCUUGUAUUCAAUUACUUUAUUGAACGAAAUGUUGUUCGGGAUCUGCAGAUGACAUUCGGCAGUAGAUCAUUGCAGAUCAUGUUCUCGAAUGGAAGAUCAUUUUAUCUUUACAUUUGAUGGCCUACAAUAGGAUAAGUUUAUCAAGUUGAAACAUUUUCUUCAGCCAAUCGACUACGCCACACGAGUACAGGGUAUACAGCC
RNAcentral lists this long non-coding RNA (2996 nucleotides) under Drosophila guanche. The record is from RNAcentral. Lineage: Eukaryota; Metazoa; Arthropoda; Insecta; Diptera; Drosophilidae.